AGUGAACGCUGGCGGUAGGCCUAACACAUGCAAGUCGAACGGCAGCACAGUAAGAGCUUGCUCUUACGGGUGGCGAGUGGCGGACGGGUGAGGAAUACAUCGGAAUCUACUUUUUCGUGGGGGAUAACGUAGGGAAACUUACGCUAAUACCGCAUACGCCCUACGGGUGAAAGCAGGGGAUCUUCGGACCUUGCGCGAUUGAAUGAGCCGAUGUCGGAUUAGCUAGUUGGCGGGGUAAAGGCCCACCAAGGCGACGAUCCGUAGCUGGUCUGAGAGGAUGAUCAGCCACACUAGAACUGGGACACGGUCCAGACGCCUGCGGGAGGCAGCAGUGGGGAAUAGUGGACAAUGGGCGCAAGCCUGAUCCAGCCAUACCGCGUGGGUGAAGAAGGCCUUCGGGGUGGAAAGCCCUUUUGUUGGGAAAGAAAAGCAGCAGGUUAAUACCCCGCUGUUCUGACGGUACCCAAAGAAGAAGCACCGGCUAACUUCGUG
This 492-nucleotide ribosomal RNA is filed under the name uncultured bacterium. Its description in RNAcentral is "partial 16S ribosomal RNA". It matches the Rfam family "Bacterial small subunit ribosomal RNA", at positions 29 to 507 of the family's 1533-position model. The record is from RNAcentral.